Molecule: ribosomal RNA, 468 nt
Filed under: uncultured bacterium
Lineage: Bacteria
Description: partial 16S ribosomal RNA
Rfam family: Bacterial small subunit ribosomal RNA
Source: RNAcentral
GACGAACGCUGGCGGCGUGCUUAACACAUGCAAGUCGAACGGAAAGGCCCUGCUUUUGUGGGGUGCUCGAGUGGCGAACGGGUGAGUAACACGUGAGUAACCUGCCCUUGACUUUGGGAUAACUUCAGGAAACUGGGGCUAAUACCGGAUAGGAGCUCCUGCUGCAUGGUGGGGGUUGGAAAGUUUCGGCGGUUGGGGAUGGACUCGCGGCUUAUCAGCUUGUUGGUGGGGUAGUGGCUUACCAAGGCUUUGACGGGUAGCCGGCCUGAGAGGGUGACCGGCCACAGUGGGACUGAGAUACGGCCCAGACUCCUACGGGAGGCAGCAGUGGGGAAUAUUGCACAAUGGGCGGAAGCCUGAUGCAGCAACGCCGCGUGCGGGAUGACGGCUUUCGGGUUGUAAACCGCUUUCGCCUGUGACGAAGCGUGAGUGACGGUAAUGGGUAAAGAAGCACCGGCUAACUACGUG